GACGAACGCUGGCGGCGUGCCUAACACAUGCAAGUCGAACGGAAAGGCUCUGCUUUUGUGGGGUUUUCGAGUGGCGAACGGGUGAGUAACACGUGAGUAACCUGCCCUUUACUUUGGGAUAACUCCAGGAAACUCGGGCUAUUACCGGAUAUGAGCUCCUUCUGCAUGGUGGUUGUUGGAAAGUUUCGGCGGUUGGGGAUGGACGCGCGGCUUAUCAGUUUGUUGGUGGGGUAGUGGCUUACAAAGGCUUGGACGGGUAGCCGGCCUGAGAGCGUGACCGGGCACAUAGGGACUGAGGUAGGAGCAAGACGCAAACGGGAGGAAGGGGUGGGAAAUAGUGCGAAAUGGGCGGAGGCCGGGAGGAGCGACGCCGCGUGCGGGAUGACGGCCUGCAGGUUGUAAACCGCUUUAGCGUGUGAAGAAGAGUAAGUGACGGUAAUGGGUAAAGAAGCAACGGCUAACUACGUG
RNAcentral lists this ribosomal RNA (468 nucleotides) under uncultured bacterium. RNAcentral's name for it is "partial 16S ribosomal RNA". It matches the Rfam family "Bacterial small subunit ribosomal RNA", at positions 28 to 507 of the family's 1533-position model. The record is from RNAcentral.